UACCGACAAUCUAGUACCAGUUGAGCCAGGAGACCAAACAAAACAGGCAAGCUAGAAGUGGACCGUGAUUAAAGAAAAAAUGGGGUGCCACGAAAAGAAACGGGUUACUGGCCACCCAAGCAGAGCGUUCACGUAACCGACCCACUCCAGGCGGGUACACGCUAACCCUAAAAAGGUCAGGCGAGGAGCGCGCGCUGCACGCAGCACCCUGGCUGGUAGGGGCUCGGGCGCGGGGAGGAAGGAGGAGAGAGGGAGCAGUCGGCGGUGUCGUUCUUGGUAUCGGGGGAAGGGGUAACGGCGGCGGGGAGGGCGUAAACAAGAGAGGAAGGAGAGAGGCAACAGUCGGCGGCGAUGUUGAGGAGGGAAGGGGUAGAAACAGGCACGUCGGCUGGUUUAAUCGAGGCGGGCCUCUAGCGACGGGGGGGUCAAGUAGUAGGGAGGGAACGACGAGACGAAAGUGGUCCCUGCCUGCUUAGGUACGUGGGGGAGCGGAUCUUGGCGGUCCACUUCUUCUACCUGCUCGCGCUCCCAGCCUCCGCCGGUGGUUCCCUGCCUAGACCGUGCCCUAAUGCCCAAAGUUCUGGGAGCACCAACUGGAGGAGAAGCGAAGAAGGAGCACGACGAGGUAGGGGAACCAAGAAGGGGAGAUAUUACACUACGUCGACGUCUAAUGAACACUAAAAGACGUAUUAGUUGAACAGUUCAUCACCACAGUUACCUUCGGCACUGUCAGUAAGACCACUGUAUACGUGUAGUCCAGUCGUGGCGACAACAGUGACCCGUCUUAUCUACUGACCGGUACCCGUCCGAGCCUCGGGAGACGCUUAUCCAUUGACUUAAAAGACUGGUUCCUGGAGAGAUUUGGACAUUUUGCCGGACAUCCGGUCUCGUGUGUCCAAAUGUCAAUCACGAACGUUGUGAGUCGAUACCGAGAAUGUCAAUCACGAACGUUGUGAGUCGAUACCGAAACCGGGUCAACCUAGGUUGUACGUCUCCGUCUGUUGGUCGUUCGUCGGGGAGACAAGAUGUCCGGUCACAAAAACAAUCAAACCUCAGUUUAUUUUUCUACAUAUUUAGAUCCUUAAAGUUAUCCACACUCCACCUGUUUUCUAGACCCCAUAUAGUGAUGUCGUUAUCUUGAUCUCCCUUCCUCCCUCUACCAUGACUAAAAUUGUAUCGUCCUAUCAUAUAUGAUCGUAUCACAUUGUCUCGUACCAAAUACUUGUUGAUAAUUCUAUCGUCCUUAUUCUAAGGAACCAUUAAUAGUGUAGCGAUAAUCGGAGUGAUCUGUCUAUAUGACUCUUACGAAUGUCAACCCUUUAAUCUGAUGUUUAGAAUAAAGAUUAGUUGUCUACUAUAUCAUGAUAAUAAACAGUUUACGCUGUUGUAGUUUUUGUGUUGUCUUUCGUGAUAGACCACUUUCAAACCCGCCAUUCGUUCGUUUACCUGUCUUUACAUUGUCGUACUUGUGAAUUUAAUUGUAGAUAAACAGUCUAUUCGUCUACGUUUGACGUAUGUUCGUAUUAAGUUCACGUUAAAUUGUACACGCAUUGUCUCAAUGUAAAGGAAAUUUGUAUUAUGUGAAUAACACAACGAAUGGAUGAACGUUUCUCUCAAGUAUAGUCUCCUUUACAAGUAACAAAGAUGAGACAAAUACAAAGUCCAAACGUACAAGUCAGUUACCCUUUAACCAUCGUUGAAAGGACGUGAAAAACCUACGUAUCGAAACUAUCAAAACGAACGCCACGGAUUUAAUGUCGGACGGUUACCGUACCUCAAAUCCACAGAUCGGGUACGUAACCCUUCUCAAACCCACCCAGCGCCAACUAUAGCCUGGACAUUUACUUCUUUAAAAGUAGCGUCACCCGUAUUAAUUACCACACCACCCCGAAUCAACGUGCGAGCAACCAGACGGGUUCCGCUUCCUCAAGUGGCACCACCUGUGCGGUGAGGACCUCGCCGAGAAGAACGAGGACGGCGGAUUACCACACCACCCCGAAUCCUAGCGAACACGAGGGUUGGACACCCACGAGCGGAUGGAUCUGUGUUUCUCGAGCGUACGAUGUCUAACCACAGUAGUAGUAACCCCGUGUAGAGAGGCCAGAUGUAGAGAGAACGUUGAACUUUAAUAAGGUAGCUGUAACUAGGUUGGUAGUACAACAAGAAACACUAAUCUUUUGAUAGUUACUGAACACUAUUAUUACAACGAAAUCGACAUCGAGUAACGUCAGAGAUUUUUAAUAAGGUCAUUAGGGAGAAGAAGAGAAGAGAAGAUCAUUGAUAGUUACUGACCACCACUCAAGUCGCCGACGGCGGAGGAGAAGAGAAACUUAGGUCAUUUGGGAGAGCACUCACGUAGUCCCCUACAGCACGGGAGCUGAUGCGACUUCGUGGUCCAAAGAAAGGACCGUCGCUUAAAUACUAAGUCUGGUAAGGUAUUGUUUUACGUAUAUACCGGAGUGCUAGUAAAGUGUUUUACCUUCAUAUCUCCUUAAUUAUAUAUCUUCAAUACUGGUAGCACAUCUCACUAGAGACUUCUACCUAACGUCUAUUCAUCUAAUUGUUAAAUCAUUACUGGGAUAAAGACAACUAUGAAAAAUAAAAUGAUUUAGAAAGCAUAAUUGGUAUUCGUAUUUCCUAUAGUACAACCCAACGUAAUGGUACAUUCCUUACCUAUAGGAUUUGGACUCUUUCAUGGUUACGUCUACUAUCAAAGAAUCCUUAUAGUAGCACAACAAUGUCGUUUCUACCGAUCGACAUCGUGGAAGAUAUCAAAUCAAAUGAUAAUCCCUAUAGUAAGUUAGAGAUUUGAUACAUAAUGGUAAUAUUUAAACCGAUUCCUUAGACAGAGUAAAAUUAUAACGUUACUUCACCAACCCUACCUCUCCCAAAAAAUGAACUGAUAAAAGACUGAUAUAUGGAAAGACAAAACACGUUCAUGCUUCAUAAUCAUUAAAGUCAGACAGGUUAAAAACGUCCCUAUUAACACACUCAGACCAGGUUUGAAAUUCUGUUAGUGAAUUAUGUAAAUACCCUAGUGGUUGAAAACCGCAAAUAACUCUGAUCGAUCCACCCUGGUACUUAAGGAUCUUCUAACACUUGUUUUCAUUUUUUACCUUCCGGGUCGAAUGAAACCAUAAUUCUCUGUUCCUCGACGUCGCAGUACCUAACCUCGCUUCCUCUCUAGGACUGCCGACUUCUACCACACGUGCCCUCCUCGAGCUUCGCCGUGAGAGUACCUCCCUACCGACUACAGUUCCACGAUUUUAGAAUACACAGUUCCCGUAACACUACCGCGCUAGGUACAGAGGGCGCUCGCGAGUCGUAGGGCUUCGGGGUUUCUCCUCCCGAAAUUCCGACCUGUUGUUCGAAGGGACCUACUUUCGUAAAGGGAAGAUUUUGUCUCACGACAACUGUACUUACGUGUUCAAUCAGAACUAUGAUUCUAACAGUACCUUAACGAACUAGAUACGAUCCAGUUAUACAGUCGGUUGGUGAAUUUUUAUUAGUUAACGUAAAGAAGGAGACUUGACACUUUGGACUCCUUACUACUGCGUAGUCGUUAAAUCGUUAUCUCCUACAGUCACUUGUGCUCAUGAGUCAGUUCUCGUUACUUCGGAUCUAUGAAAUCUCACAUUAAAAUAUAUUCUUAUUGAUUUACUGUGAAUUCAGCAACUCGUUAACAACAACUCCAUAACAGAGUGGGAAAUAGACGAGACAAAAUUUGACACCUUACGAUACCCGACCUCGAUGUCCCCUUCUCCCUCCAUUCGUACCUACGUUACUUAUAACAAGCCUAUUUUAUAACAGAAGUCGGUAGACAGAACGAGACCAAAAGGACAUCACACCUCAAAGUUGAGAGCUAGACCAGAUGCACAAUAGCUAAGUCAACGGAGUGGUAGCAUCCUUUAAUAACACAC
Molecule: ribosomal RNA, 3920 nt
Filed under: Triticum aestivum (bread wheat)
Lineage: Eukaryota; Viridiplantae; Streptophyta; Magnoliopsida; Poales; Poaceae
Description: partial small subunit ribosomal RNA
Source: RNAcentral